GAUAGUUACCUGGCAGAGGCGAUACCAUGACCAAGUAGGUGGUUUUCCGAAGGUGAGGCUCAUCUGUGGCACUCAGGGCGUGCUGCCUCCUUUGAUUUUCCCCAUGUGGGGCAAACUUCGUGUAGUUUGUGGUCGUAAGGGACUGUGUUCUCACUUUA
Molecule: small nuclear RNA, 158 nt
Filed under: Mus pahari (shrew mouse)
Lineage: Eukaryota; Metazoa; Chordata; Mammalia; Rodentia; Muridae
Description: predicted gene, 24041 (MGP_PahariEiJ_G0033371.1)
Rfam family: U1 spliceosomal RNA
About the family: U1 is a small nuclear RNA (snRNA) component of the spliceosome (involved in pre-mRNA splicing).
Source: RNAcentral